RNAcentral lists this ribosomal RNA (303 nucleotides) under uncultured bacterium. Its description in RNAcentral is "partial 16S ribosomal RNA". The record is from RNAcentral.
UACUGGUUCGCUAUCGGUCAGUCAGGAGUAUUUAGCCUUGGAGGAUGGUCCCCCCAUAUUCAAACAGGAUAUCACGUGUCCCGCCUUACUCGUUUUCAUCAAAGGUUAGUUUUCGUGUACGGGGCUAUCACCCUGUGCCGCUGGACUUUCCAGACCAUUCCACUAACACCCCUCUGACUUAAGGGCUAAUCCCCGUUCGCUCGCCGCUACUAGGGGAAUCUCGGUUGAUUUCUUUUCCUAAGGGUACUUAGAUGUUUCAGUUCCCCUCGUUUGCCUCGCAACGCUAUGUAUUCACGUUACGAU